GGCCCUUGCAAAACGACAUUGCCGCACAUCCUGUGAACAAGAAGUCUCAAAUUUUCCACGUAAUUUUGUGAUCAAAAAAAAAAAAAAGGAAAACCUUUAAACCUUAAGCCCUGUUUCGGGAAAAUGAUGCUUUGAAACGUCUUAGACCCCAAUUACCUAGACUGGUAUCCAUAUAUUUUAAACUGGUCAUGUGACAAUACGUCUCUCUACACCUUAGUAAUGACAGGUAAGGAGUAUUAUGGUUUGAUUUUUACGGUGUCCCGUGCGAUGAGAUAAGUCACCAGGAUUUAAACUUCUCUUAGGCGGAGUCUGUUUGUUACAAAUAAUAAUAUCUAUACUUCACUCA
This is a non-coding RNA of Bemisia tabaci, 346 nucleotides long. The record is from RefSeq and is a predicted model, not a curated record. Lineage: Eukaryota; Metazoa; Arthropoda; Insecta; Hemiptera; Aleyrodidae.